This 636-nucleotide ribosomal RNA is filed under the name Cortinarius sp. NVE 239. RNAcentral describes it as "eukaryotic LSU rRNA". The stretch from base 223 to 376 matches the Rfam family "5.8S ribosomal RNA". The record is from RNAcentral. Lineage: Eukaryota; Fungi; Basidiomycota; Agaricomycetes; Agaricales; Cortinariaceae.
GAAGUAAAAGUCGUAACAAGGUUUCCGUAGGUGAACCUGCGGAAGGAUCAUUAUUGAAAUAAACCUGAUGGGUUGUUGCUGGCUCUCCAGGGAGGCAUGUGCACGCCUUGUCAUCUUUAUAUUUCCACCUGUGCACCUUUUGUAGACCCCCCCAGGUCUAUGUUGUUUCAUUUACCCUCCAAUGUAUGUCUAUAGAAUGUUGUGCCUAUGAAAAAUCUAUACAACUUUCAGCAACGGAUCUCUUGGCUCUCGCAUCGAUGAAGAACGCAGCGAAAUGCGAUAAGUAAUGUGAAUUGCAGAAUUCAGUGAAUCAUCGAAUCUUUGAACGCACCUUGCGCUCCUUGGUAUUCCGAGGAGCAUGCCUGUUUGAGUGUCAUUAGUAUAUCAAACCCUUCCUCUUUCUGAGCGGUUUGGAUGUGGAGGCUUUUGCUGGCCGCUUAAAAAAGGUCCCAGCUCCUCUGAAAUGCAUUAGCGGAACAACCUGUCCAUUCAUUGGUGUGAUAGCUAUCUACGCUGUUGAAUGUGAGGCGGUUCAGCUUCUUAACAGUCCCCUUGGGACAACUUACCCCCAUUUUAUGUGACCUCAAAUCAGGUAGGACUACCCGCUGAACUUAAGCAUAUCAAUAAGCGGAGGAA